RNAcentral lists this ribosomal RNA (448 nucleotides) under uncultured bacterium. RNAcentral describes it as "bacterial SSU rRNA". It matches the Rfam family "Bacterial small subunit ribosomal RNA", at positions 330 to 793 of the family's 1533-position model. The record is from RNAcentral.
UCCAGACUCCUACGGGAGGCAGCAGUGGGGGAUAUUGCACAAUGGGGGGAACCCUGAUGCAGCGACGCCGCGUGGGUGAAGGAGCGUUUCGGCGCGUAAAGCCCUAUCGGCAGGGAAGAAGGAGGACGGUACCUGACUAAGAAGCCCCGGCUAACUACGUGCCAGCAGCCGCGGUAAUACGUAGGGGGCAAGCGUUAUCCGGAUUUACUGGGUGUAAAGGGGGCGCAGACGGCAGCGCAAGCCAGGAGUGAAAGCCCGGGGCCCAACCCCGGGACUGCUCUUGGAACUGCGCGGCUGGAGUGCAGGAGGGGCAGGCGGAAUUCCUGGUGUAGCGGUGAAAUGCGUAGAUAUCAGGAGGAACACCGGUGGCGAAGGCGGCCUGCUGGACUGCGACUGACGUUGAGGCCCGAAAGCGUGGGGAGCAAACAGGAUUAGAUACCCGCGUACG